GACGAACGCUGGCGGCGUGCUUAACACAUGCAAGUCGAACGGAAAGGCCCUGCUUUUGUGGGGUGCUCGAGUGGCGAACGGGUGAGUAACACGUGAGUAACCUGCCCUUGACUUUGGGAUAACUUCAGGAAACUGGGGCUAAUACCGGAUAGGAGCUCCUGCUGCAUGGUGGGGGUUGGAAAGUUUCGGCGGUUGGGGAUGGACUCGCGGCUUAUCAGCUUGUUGGUGGGGUAGUGGCUUACCAAGGCUUUGACGGGUAGCCGGCCUGAGAGGGUGACCGGCCACAUUGGGACUGAGAUACGGCCCAGACUCCUACGGGAGGCAGCAGUGGGGAAUCUUCCGCAAUGGGCGAAAGCCUGACGGAGCAACGCCGCGUGAGUGAAGAAGGUCUUCGGAUCGUAAAACUCUGUUAUUAGGGAAGAACAAAUGUGUAAGUAACUAUGCACGUCUUGACGGUACCUAAUCAGAAAGCCACGGCUAACUACGUG
RNAcentral lists this ribosomal RNA (488 nucleotides) under uncultured bacterium. RNAcentral describes it as "partial 16S ribosomal RNA". It matches the Rfam family "Bacterial small subunit ribosomal RNA", at positions 28 to 507 of the family's 1533-position model. The record is from RNAcentral.